AGGGCUGUAUCUGCUAGAACGGCACCCAACUGAAAUGGGAUAUAGCGUCCGCGUACCGCUUGGAUUCGUAAGAACCGAGACGAUAAU
Molecule: non-coding RNA, 87 nt
Organism: Bacillus sp. JCM 19045
Lineage: Bacteria; Bacillati; Bacillota; Bacilli; Caryophanales; Bacillaceae
Source: Rfam